RNAcentral lists this long non-coding RNA (543 nucleotides) under Homo sapiens (human). RNAcentral's name for it is "non-protein coding lnc-FABP5-7:1". The record is from RNAcentral. Lineage: Eukaryota; Metazoa; Chordata; Mammalia; Primates; Hominidae.
AUUACACAAAGAUCCCCACAUAUUGUGAUUUUGGGUAGAGCCUGUGUUUUAAACCAAGAAUUGUUGGAGUGUCCCUGUGAUCUAUUCAUACCUGUAAGUUGGGUGAAUUUUAUCAGUGCUAUUAACAGAAAUGAUUAUUUUAGGUCUUAGAGCAAAGUUUGAAUUUUGGCUUCAACCCAUCUGAAGAACUAAAUUACAGAUGACAGAGGACAAAAUUAGGUCCUGCCUUAUAUAUGUAUUUUUUGGACUGUUUCUACAUGACAAAUAUUUGUACUUAGGAUUUGUACCUAUUCAACCUAAGUUCAAUAGUUGAAAAUGUAAGAGAAUGAAGGGAAAUGUAUAAGUCAAUCCAAGUAGACUCAUUACCAGACUUUUACUAGAGUAAGUAACACUCUUACCCUGGUAGGUAGUAAAUAAAACAAGGUCUACUACUCUAGAUUUACUGUAGCAGAUAGAUGUGUGGCCAUUUGAAACCAGAGAUAUCUACAAUUUAAAAGGCCAGGAUUACAGCCUUCCACCCUCCCAUCUUGGUGAAGGAAGGAA